GCAGAUGUGGCGGAAUUGGCAGACGCUCAGGUCUCAGAAGCCUGUGAAGCAAUUCGUACGGGUUCAAGUCCCGUCAUCUGCACCA
RNAcentral lists this transfer RNA (85 nucleotides) under Oscillospiraceae bacterium. RNAcentral describes it as "tRNA-Leu". It matches the Rfam family "tRNA". From Rfam's summary of the family: Transfer RNA (tRNA) molecules are approximately 80 nucleotides in length. Their secondary structure includes four short double-helical elements and three loops (D, anti-codon, and T loops). Lineage: Bacteria; Bacillati; Bacillota; Clostridia; Eubacteriales; Oscillospiraceae. The record is from RNAcentral.